RNAcentral lists this ribosomal RNA (444 nucleotides) under uncultured bacterium. Its description in RNAcentral is "partial 16S ribosomal RNA". It matches the Rfam family "Bacterial small subunit ribosomal RNA", at positions 338 to 795 of the family's 1533-position model. The record is from RNAcentral.
CCUACGGGUGGCAGCAGUGAGGAAUAUUGGUCAAUGGGCGCGAGCCUGAACCAGCCAAGUAGCGUGAAGGAUGACUGCCCUACGGGUUGUAAACUUCUUUUCUCAGGGACGAAGCCAAUGUCGGUACCUGUGUCUUAAGCCACCGCUCACUCCGUGCCAGCAUCCGCGGGAAUACGUAGGCGGCAAGCGUUAUCCGGAUUUACUGGGUGUAAAGGUAGUGUAGGCGGUAAGGUAAGUCAGAUGUGAAAUCCAUGGGCUCAACAUGUGGCCUGCAUUUGAUACUGUUUUGCUUGAGUACGGGAGCGGCAGACGGAAUGUCUGGUGUAGCGGUGAAAUGCGUAGAGAGUAGGAGGAACACCAGUGGCGAAGGCAGUUUGCUGGACAGCAACUGACGCUGAGGCGCGAAAGCGUGGGGAGCAAACAGGAUUAGAUACCCUGGUAGUC